Molecule: ribosomal RNA, 422 nt
Filed under: uncultured bacterium
Lineage: Bacteria
Description: bacterial SSU rRNA
Rfam family: Bacterial small subunit ribosomal RNA
Source: RNAcentral
GGAAUAUUGCGCAAUGGGCGAAAGCCUGACGCAGCAACGCCGCGUGGAGGAUGAAGGUCUUCGGAUUGUAAACUCCUGUCAGUGGGGAAAAAGGGGAACGUGCUCAUACCACGUUUCAUUGAUUGUACCCGCAGAGGAAGCCCCGGCUACCUCCGGGCCAAGAGCCGCGGUAAUACCGAGGGGGCAAGCGUUAUUCGGACUUAUUGGGCGUAAAGGGCGCGUAGGCGGCCCUUCAAGUGGUAGGUGAAAUCCCUCGGCUCAACCGAGGAGCUGCCCGCCAAACUGAAGAGCUUGAGUCCGGGAGAGGUGAGUGGAAUUCCCAGUGUAGCGGUGAAAUGCGUAGAUAUUGGGAGGAACACCAGUGGCGAAGGCGGCUCACUGGACCGGAACUGACGCUGAGGCGCGAAAGCGUGGGGAGCAAA